GCGCGAAGCCAGCCCCGAGAUGAGAUUUCCAUAUAGGGUCGUGGGAGACUACCACGUUGAUAGGCUGCAGGUGUAAAGGCAGUAAUGUCAAAGCCGAGCAGUACUAAUAGCCCGAAAGCUUAACGCG
RNAcentral lists this ribosomal RNA (127 nucleotides) under Bacteroidales bacterium. RNAcentral describes it as "partial 23S ribosomal RNA". It matches the Rfam family "Bacterial large subunit ribosomal RNA", at positions 2785 to 2925 of the family's 2925-position model. The record is from RNAcentral. Lineage: Bacteria; Pseudomonadati; Bacteroidota; Bacteroidia; Bacteroidales.